RNAcentral lists this ribosomal RNA (377 nucleotides) under uncultured bacterium. RNAcentral describes it as "bacterial SSU rRNA". It matches the Rfam family "Bacterial small subunit ribosomal RNA", at positions 521 to 896 of the family's 1533-position model. The record is from RNAcentral.
UAAUACGUAGGGAGCAAGCGUUGUCCGGAAUCAUUGGGCGUAAAGCGCGCGUAGGUGGCUCUAUAAGUCCGUUGUGAAAGUCAAAGGCUCAACCUUUGAAAGCCGAUGGAUACUGUAGAGCUAGAGUCCGGAAGAGGCGAGUGGAAUUCCUGGUGUAGCGGUGGAAUGCGCAGAUAUCAGGAGGAACACCAAUAGCGAAGGCAGCUCGCUGGGACGUGACUGACACUAAGGCGCGAAAGCGUGGGGAGCGAACAGGAUUAGAUACCCUGGUAGUCCACGCCGUAAACGAUGGGCAUUAGGUGUGGGAGGUGUCGACUCCUCCCGUGCCGUCGCUAACGCACUAAAUGCCCCGCCUGGGGAGUACGGCCGCAAGGCUA